UUGAUAAAAUUAGUUUUUUUAUUUUAUAUAUAGAAGUAUAAAUCUAUUAGUAGUUUUUACGAAAUUUUUUAUAAGCUAUAGUUUAAUAGUACUGUGAAGGAAAAUUGAAAUAUUAUUGAAAAAAUUUCAUAAAAAAAGUACUUAUUUAUAAAGGUACCUUUUGUAUUAGUGAUUAUUAAAUUUAUUAUAAUAUUUAUUUAUUCUCGAAAAUAAAAGAUCUAGGUAGAUUAAAAAUUUUUUGUUUAAAAAAGAUUUUAUAAUUUUAUUUAGUUGUGAAAUUCUAAUCGCUUUUAUUGAUAUCUAGUAGCUUUAGAAAUAAAUUUAGUUUAGAAUGAUGAGGAAAUUUUUAUUCUUAAUAAAUUCUUAAUUCAUUUUUAAUUUUUAGGGGAUGAGCUCUGAAAAUUAUAUAUAAGAAUUAACCUAUAUAAGUUUUAUAUAGACUUAGAAUUAGUCAUAAAAACGUGUUAUAAAGUGUCACAUAAAGAUUUAGAUUUAUUUUUCUUUCAUACUUAUAAAGCUAAUUAUGAAACUUGUUUUACUUUGUAAUCAUGAUAAUAUUAGUAGAUGAUUUAAUAAAGGAUUUUUUUUUAAACUUUCUUUAUUUUUUUUUAGAAAAGAUCUAACAAAAGAACUCGGCAAAUUAAAUCUCCGAAUGUUUAACAAAAACAUUUCUUCCUAGUUUAGGAAGUAAGGCCUGCUCACUGAAAAUUUAAAGAGCCGCAGUAUUCUAACUGUGCUAAGGUAGCAUAAUCAUUAGUCUUUUAAUUGGGGACUGGUAUGAAGGGUUUAACGAGAGAUUUACUUUUUUUGUUAUAUAAGUUGAAUUUAAUUUUUUAGUGAAAAAGCUAAAAUUUUUCAGAAAGACGAGAAGACCCUAUAGAGUUUUAUGUUAAAUUAUAUUUUUUAUUAUUAGAUUUUAAAAAAUUAAUAUGGUAAAUCAUUUUGUUGGGGCGACAUAAAAAUAUAAAAAACUUUUAUUUUUAAAAAUUUUUUUAAAAAUAUGUUCUGAUCCUUUAAAAAAGAUCAUAAGAAAAAAUUACCUUAGGGAUAACAGCGUAAUCUUUUUUGAGAGUUCUAAUCGACAAAAAGGUUUGCGACCUCGAUGUUGGACUAAAAUUUAGGCAAGGUGCAGCUGCUUUGUUUUAAGGUCUGUUCGACCUAUAAUAUUUUACACGAUCUGAGUUCAGACCGGCGUAAGCCAGGUUGGUUUCUAUCUUCUGAUUCAUAUUGUUCAGCUUAGUACGAAAGGAUUGGUUAAUAGUAAUUAUUAUAUUUUAAGAGGAUAAAUAAUAUUUCUAU
Molecule: ribosomal RNA, 1299 nt
Filed under: Pyrgopsella youngi
Lineage: Eukaryota; Metazoa; Arthropoda; Thecostraca; Balanomorpha; Pyrgomatidae
Description: 16S ribosomal RNA
Rfam family: Archaeal large subunit ribosomal RNA (bases 606-1299)
Source: RNAcentral